CGUCGGGUUAGCAAUAAUUCGGCGGUCCUAGUGGCGCACGGGUGAGUAACACGUGGGUAACCUGCCCUUGAGUUCGGGAUACCCCCUCGAAAGGGGGGCUAAUACCGGAUACGGUCCUCGGGUUGAAAGGCCUGGGGAAGAAAGGUAGCGCAAGCUGCCGCUCUUGGAGGGGCUCGCGGCCUAUCAGCUAGUUGGCGGGGUAACGGCCCACCAAGGCUAUGACGGGUAGCUGGUCUGAGAGGACGACCAGCCACACGGGGACUGAGACACGGCCCCGACUCCUACGGGAGGCAGCAGUGGGGAAUUUUCCGCAAUGGGCGAAAGCCUGACGGAGUGACGCCGCGUGUGGGACGAAGGCCUUCGGGUCGUAAACCACUGUCAGUGGGAAAGAUGGGUGUCGGCGUGAAUAGCGCCGAUAUCUGACGGUACCUGCAGAGGAAGCCCCGGCCAACUCUGUGCCAGCAGCCGCGGUAAGACAGAGGGGGCAAGCGUUGCUCGGAAUUACUGGGCGUAAAGGGCGCGUAGGCGGAAUGGCAAGUCGGUCGUGAAAUCCUUCGGCUCAACCGAAGAACGUCGAUCGAAACUGCCGUUCUUGAGGAUUGCAGAGGAGACUGGAAUUCCCGGUGUAGCGGUGAAAUGUGUAGAGAUCGGGAGGAACACCGGUGGCGAAGGCGGGUCUCUGGGCAAUUCCUGACGCUGAGGCGCGAAAGCGUGGGG
This 717-nucleotide ribosomal RNA is filed under the name uncultured Chloroflexota bacterium. RNAcentral's name for it is "bacterial SSU rRNA". It matches the Rfam family "Bacterial small subunit ribosomal RNA", at positions 69 to 766 of the family's 1533-position model. The record is from RNAcentral. Lineage: Bacteria; Bacillati; Chloroflexota.